RNA transcript from Betta splendens (Siamese fighting fish), 2021 nucleotides. RefSeq lists it as uncharacterized. The record is from RefSeq and is a predicted model, not a curated record. Lineage: Eukaryota; Metazoa; Chordata; Actinopteri; Anabantiformes; Osphronemidae. The transcript has 10 exons.
AGAGCACAGCAGCGUGCUCUGCCGAUUCUCAAUGCGUCGGGCACAUUUCAUUGAGCCUGCUGAAAUAUAUUUGGAUAAAACUUUACCAUAAUAUGCGACAGUUGGAGCGGCGAAACCAAGCGGAUACAUGACACGAAGAAAACGGGGGACAACAAAUUCUGACUAUGUUUAGGCUAGCAGAGAACGCUUAGCUGCCUCUGAUGGACGGCCGCCACUGCGGGCAGUAAUGGAAGAGCUCCUGGCCGUUGUUCGACGCCUGCGUCUCCCUUGCGUUCUCACGCACGUCCGUGCACGUGCGUCAAAACCAUGCAGCAAUGGAGCGCCAUUUGCCGUGGGCCAUUUGGAAGCUCUGGAGACGUUUUAAACGUUGGAGACGCCGACGGAGACAGCGGUGGCAGCCGGUGGCGGAAGUUGCUGUGCUUGGUCGUCCACCUAGACCUCCACCUAGACGUCGGCGGCCUCGCUUUGACCCACCUACUUCCCACGUUGAGGAAGUUGUCCCCCCCACCUCUGACAUUCAGGUACCUCACUUGGACUCACCCCCUUCUUACUGUGAGGUUCCACCAAGCUGGGGGGAAACACCACUUCCUCUUUACUGUGAGCUUUUUCCUUCUUCUUCUCCUCCACACUCUCCCCUUCCUUCUGGCUCUUUUGCUCCUUCUCUUUCUCCUCCAGGCUCUCCUGUUCCUUCUGGCUCUUUUGCUCCUUCUCUUUCUCCUCCAGGCUCUCCUGUUCCUUCUGGCUCUUUUGCACUUUCUCUUUCUCCUCCAGGCUCUCCCCUUCCUUCUGGCUCUUUUGCUCCUUCUCUUUCUCCUCCAGGCUCUCCCCUUCCUUCUGGCUCUUUUGCUCCUUCUCUUUCUCCUCCAGGCUCUCCCCUUCCUCCUUCUUCUUCUUCUUUUCCUUCCACACCCCCUCCUCCUUAUUCUCUUGUUCCUUCUUGCACUCCUGCUCCUUCGCUUUCUCCUCCAGGCUCUCCUGUUUCUUCUUCUUUUCCACCUUCACCUCCUCCUCCUUCCCCUCUGGUUCCACCUAUUGUGGCUCUUUCUGAGCUGCCCUGUGUUCCGGAUGCUGGCCUGUCCCUGUCUCCUGUUAUUCAGGACUCAGGCUCUGUAGUGCACGGGACCAGCGAGGACGGGACCAGCGAGGACGGGACCAGCGAGGACGGGACCAGCGAGGACGGGACCAGCGAGGACGGGACCAGCGAGGACGGGACCAGCGAGGACGGGACCAGCGAGGACGGGACCAGCGAGGACGUACCGGAUGGGGGGGACGAGGAGGCUCCAAGCAGCAGCACGUCACUAAGGAGAGCGAUAGGUCAGUUCAGUCACAGUGGCACCAGUGGCACCAGGGACACAUGUCAUCUCCCACGGAAGCUCCUCAGUGGCAGAGCAGGAUGGACUGCAGUGCCACGUGUUAUGGAGCGGACACAUGGCUGUGUGCUGUUCUAGUCAUGCUCCACACCACAGGGAGCAGUGCCACUGAUACUGAUGUACUGACCAGUGUGUCUGUCAGUCCAGUGGACAAAGUUUUCUAAGGAGAAGGGGAUGAGGGCACCAGGAGAUGAGGAGAAGGAGAUUAAGUUAAAACAAAAAGCGCACGCUGCAGAAGGUGACACCAUGGAAACGAGACAAGGAUCUGGACCAAGCUGGCCUAAGCUGUCAGAACGAUCGCAGGAACCACAGGUGCAGCUGUGGAGGCUGGAGAACUGUGGCAACUGAGACGACGAUAGGACCGCAUAGGGCGAUAGGAGACGUUAUCGCCCGUGUCUGUGGAGGCUCAAUGCUCUUCCUGCAGCUCUUUGCUCCCUCCAGCCUCCGGUCCAGACAGAGGGGAGCCUCCCAGUCCUAAGCACGUAGAGGAAGUGCCUUUGUCACUGCUUUCUCUGUGCUGCUGGGUUUGGGAGACUCUUCACAUAAUCAGCGGUGUUGGCCUCCAUCUCUAAAAAGAAGACGGUCAAGACGAGUCAUUGUCAUCAAUAAUUUGAAAGAAAUUGUAAUAAAUACGUUCCAUGUAAAACAUCA